This 75-nucleotide transfer RNA is filed under the name Vibrio cholerae. RNAcentral describes it as "tRNA-Phe(gaa)". It matches the Rfam family "tRNA". From Rfam's summary of the family: Transfer RNA (tRNA) molecules are approximately 80 nucleotides in length. Their secondary structure includes four short double-helical elements and three loops (D, anti-codon, and T loops). Lineage: Bacteria; Pseudomonadati; Pseudomonadota; Gammaproteobacteria; Vibrionales; Vibrionaceae. The record is from RNAcentral.
CGCCCGGAUAGCUCAGUCGGUAGAGCAGAGGAUUGAAAAUCCUCGUGUCGGUGGUUCGAUUCCGCCUCCGGGNNN